GCGGGAUGUGAAGAUGCCAACCUUGCCAAGGUUGGGGUCGUGGGUUCGAAUCCCAUCGCCCGCUCCA
Molecule: transfer RNA, 67 nt
Filed under: Xanthobacter versatilis
Lineage: Bacteria; Pseudomonadati; Pseudomonadota; Alphaproteobacteria; Hyphomicrobiales; Xanthobacteraceae
Description: tRNA-Ser (CGA) (tRNA-Ser-CGA-2-1)
Source: RNAcentral